Molecule: ribosomal RNA, 496 nt
Filed under: uncultured bacterium
Lineage: Bacteria
Description: partial 16S ribosomal RNA
Rfam family: Bacterial small subunit ribosomal RNA
Source: RNAcentral
GAUGAACGCUGGCGGCGUGCCUAAUACAUGCAAGUCGAGCGAACAGACGAGGAGCUUGCUCCUCUGACGUUAGCGGCGGACGGGUGAGUAACACGUGGAUAACCUACCUAUAAGACUGGGAUAACUUCGGGAAACCGGAGCUAAUACCGGAUAAUAUAUUGAACCGCAUGGUUCAAUAGUGAAAGACGGUUUUGCUGUCACUAUAGAUGGAUCCGCGCCGCAUUAGCUAGUUGGUAAGGUAACGGCUUACCAAGGCAACGAUGCGUAGCCGACCUGAGAGGGUGAUCGGCCACACUGGAACUGAGACACGGUCCAGACUCCUACGGGAGGCAGCAGUAGGGAAUCUUCCGCAAUGGGCGAAAGCUUGACGGAGCAACGCCGCGUGAGUGAUGAAGGUCUUCGGAUCGUAAAACUCUGUUAUUAGGGAAGAACAAAUGUGUAAGUAACUAUGCACGUCUUGACGGUACCUAAUCAGAAAGCCACGGCUAACUACGUG